GAACAUCACCUAUUGUCUUUCUCUCCUGGUUUUAGUGGGUCCACAAAGGGAAAAAAGCGGUGAUUUUUGACAUGGGUAGGUAGAAAAAUACCAGAACAAUUAAUGUAAAAAAUAAAAUAGAAGAUAAUUAAAUGUCCAGUGUGUAAUAAAAACUAAUCACGUGUGGGUGCAUGGAGAGAGAUAGGGUGCUUGUUUGAUACUUUGUUUUUCUUCGUAUGACUGGCUGUGUCUGUGUAGAGAAGAAAUAAUAAAGAUAUUGAUGAGUGGCCAG
Molecule: unclassified non-coding RNA, 271 nt
Filed under: Hevea brasiliensis (rubber tree)
Lineage: Eukaryota; Viridiplantae; Streptophyta; Magnoliopsida; Malpighiales; Euphorbiaceae
Source: RNAcentral